GUUAUCUUUUUGGCAGCACAUACACUAAAAUUGGAACGAUGCAGAGAAGAUUGGCAUGGACCUUGUGCAGGGAUGACAUGUAAAUUAGUGACACAUUCCCUAUUUAA
Small nuclear RNA from Dipodomys spectabilis (banner-tailed kangaroo rat), 107 nucleotides. The record is from RefSeq and is a predicted model, not a curated record. Lineage: Eukaryota; Metazoa; Chordata; Mammalia; Rodentia; Heteromyidae.